Molecule: ribosomal RNA, 200 nt
Filed under: uncultured bacterium
Lineage: Bacteria
Description: partial 16S ribosomal RNA
Rfam family: Bacterial small subunit ribosomal RNA
Source: RNAcentral
AGCGAACGUUAGCGGCGGGCUUAACACAUGCAAGUCGAGCGAUAUCUAGAGCUUCGGUUCUAGUGACAGCGGCAGACGGGUGAGUAACACGUAGGUAAGUUUCCGUUUUGUGGGGGACAACGGUCCGAAAGGACCGCUAAUACCGCAUAAGUUCUUUGGGGCUCUGGCUCUGGAGAGGAAAGCUGGGUAACUGGCGCAAA